This is a long non-coding RNA of Physella acuta, 921 nucleotides long. RefSeq lists it as uncharacterized. The record is from RefSeq and is a predicted model, not a curated record. Lineage: Eukaryota; Metazoa; Mollusca; Gastropoda; Physidae.
CUCACUGCUGUCAUCGCACCAUUGCCAGUUAAUUAAUGUUUUUGUCAGACAGCCAGACAUACAAUUUGUUUUGUUUACAUCGAUAUCUGGCUAAACACGAUGCAUCUCCAACCAAACGUUCUACUGAAGCUGUCGUUACUCGCCAGUAUGUUGUUCAGUGUUGUCGGCUACAACGGCUGUCAAAUGGAAUGUUUUGAGAGCUGUGCCAAUCUUUGUCACCCCGACAAGAUGGGAGACAACUCUGCCGGCUGCUUCAACACUUGUAUGAGUAGAGUCGCUCAUUUCGUCUUUUUCUGUAUCUGUUGAACACUGCCUUGUGCUGUAUCUGUUGAACACUGCCUUGUGCUGUAUCUGUUGAACACUGCCUUGUGCUGUAUCUGUUGAACACUGCCUUGUGCUGUAUCUGUUGAACACUGCCUUGUGCUGUAUCUGUUGAACACUGCCUUGUGCUGUAUCUGUUGAACACUGCCUUGUGCUGUAUCUGUUGAACACUGCCUUGUGCUGUAUCUGUUGAACACUGCCUUGUGCUGUAUCUGUUGAACACUGCCUUGUGCUGUAUCUGUUGAACACUGCCUUGUGCUGUAUCUGUUGAACACUGCCUUGUGCUGUAUCUGUUGAACACUGCCUUGUGCUGUAUCUGUUGAACACUGCCUUGUGCUGUAUCUGUUGAACACUGCCUUGUGCUGUAUCUGUUGAACACUGCCUUGUGCUGUAUCUGUUUUUGUGCCAUUAAAUAACUAUUUUUUAAAUAUUUAAAUGUUUCAUGGUUCAUUAUUUGCUUUGUUUAUUAUUUUCUUUGUUCAUUAUUUUCUUUGUUUAUUAUUUUCUUUGUUUAUUAUUUUCUAAAAUACAUAAUUCACCAUUACUUUUUAUCAUCAUCAUAAAGUUACCGUUUGGCCUUUGAAAAAUGUUAACAAAUAU